This 485-nucleotide long non-coding RNA is filed under the name Homo sapiens (human). RNAcentral describes it as "HSALNT0387838". The record is from RNAcentral. Lineage: Eukaryota; Metazoa; Chordata; Mammalia; Primates; Hominidae.
UCGCGCCAGGCCAAGACUGUCUCAAAAAAAAAAAAAAAAAAAUCUAGGCUUCCUUAUUAAUAUCUGAACAAAUAAUUACAUAUUUGCUUCUUUCCAAAUUUGGCAGCAACUAAACUUAAAAAUUUUUUUAAGUACAUUUGCUUUUGCAGUUAGCCUGGCCUCCAGAGCUCUUGGACUGCAGCACCCAUAAUGAUGGCCAAAGCCGCCCCCACGGCGACUCCUCCUGCUGAAGCAAAGUCAGGCAGAACAAUAAGAUGAGCAUGGUGGUGCAGGCCUGUAAUCUCAGCUCCUCAGGCGGGAGGAUCACUUGAUCCCCGGAAGUUUGAAGCUGGACUGCGCUGACCGCACCUGUGAAUACCACUGCCCGUCAAUCAGCCUAGGGGAAACAUUCUCGAGUGCGAGCAUGACGGCUUAGGUUGAUGUUUUUCAAAUUUUCCCAAUGAUGAGUAUUGUAAGGGACCAAAAUAAAAAAAUGCCAAUGCCUA